RNAcentral lists this ribosomal RNA (511 nucleotides) under uncultured bacterium. Its description in RNAcentral is "bacterial SSU rRNA". It matches the Rfam family "Bacterial small subunit ribosomal RNA", at positions 29 to 527 of the family's 1533-position model. The record is from RNAcentral.
AGUGAACGCUGGCGGCAGGCCUAAUACAUGCAAGUCGAACGGCAGCACAGCAGAGCUUGCUCUGUGGGUGGCGAGUGGCGGACGGGUGAGGAAUACGUGGGAAUCUGCCCAGUCGUGGGGGAUAACGUAGGGAAACUUACGCUAAUACCGCAUGCGCCCUUCGGGGGAAAGCCGGGGACCUUCGGGCCUGGCGCGAUUGGAUGAGCCCACGUCGGAUUAGCUAGUUGGCGGGGUAAAGGCCCACCAAGGCGACGAUCCGUAGCUGGUCUGAGAGGAUGAUCAGCCACACUGGAACUGAGACACGGUCCAGACUCCUACGGGAGGCAGCAGUAGGGAAUAUUGGACAAUGGGCGCAAGCCUGAUCCAGCCAUGCCGCGUGAGUGAAGAAGGCCCUCGGGUUGUAAAGCUCUUUUUGUCCGGAAAGAAAAGCGCCGGGUUAAUACCCUGGUGUCCUGACGGUACCGGAAGAAUAAGCACCGGCUAACUUCGUGCCAGCAGCCGCGGUAAAGUA